Molecule: transfer RNA, 87 nt
Filed under: Gammaproteobacteria bacterium
Lineage: Bacteria; Pseudomonadati; Pseudomonadota; Gammaproteobacteria
Description: tRNA-Leu
Rfam family: tRNA
About the family: Transfer RNA (tRNA) molecules are approximately 80 nucleotides in length. Their secondary structure includes four short double-helical elements and three loops (D, anti-codon, and T loops). Further hydrogen bonds mediate the characteristic L-shaped molecular structure. tRNAs have two regions of fundamental functional importance: the anti-codon, which is responsible for specific mRNA codon recognition, and the 3' end, to which the tRNAs corresponding amino acid is attached (by aminoacyl-tRNA synthetases). tRNAs cope with the degeneracy of the genetic code in two manners: having more than one tRNA (with a specific anti-codon) for a particular amino acid; and 'wobble' base-pairing, i.e. permitting non-standard base-pairing at the 3rd anti-codon position.
Source: RNAcentral
GCCGGAGUGGUGGAAUUGGUAGACACGCAGCCUUGAGGGGGCUGUGGCCUUAUGGCCGUGUCGGUUCGACUCCGACCUUCGGCACCA